AAGCUCGUAGUUGAACUUCAGACCUGGCCGGGCGGUCCGCCUCACGGUGUGUACUGUCUGGCUGGGCCUUACCUCUUGGUGAGCCGGUAUGCCCUUUACUGGGUGUGCCGGUGAACCAGGACUUUUACCUUGAGAAAAUUAGAGUGUUCAAAGCAGGCCUAUGCCUGAAUACGUUAGCAUGGAAUAAUGAAAUAGGACGUGCGGUUCUAUUUUUGUUGGUCUUUAGAGUCGCCGUAAUGAUUAAUAGGGAUAGUUGGGGGCAUUUGUAUUCCGUUGCUAGAGGUGAAAUUCUUGGAUUUACGGAAGACAAACUUCUGCGAAAGCAUUUGCCAAGGAUGUUUUCAUUAAUCAAGAACGAAGGUUAGGGGAUCGAAAACGAUCAGAUACCGUUGUAGUCUUAACAGUAAACUAUGCCGACUAGGGAUCGGACGACCUCUUUUUUAUGUGUCGUUCGGCACCU
RNAcentral lists this ribosomal RNA (460 nucleotides) under uncultured Exidia. RNAcentral's name for it is "SSU rRNA". It matches the Rfam family "Eukaryotic small subunit ribosomal RNA", at positions 624 to 1088 of the family's 1831-position model. The record is from RNAcentral. Lineage: Eukaryota; Fungi; Basidiomycota; Agaricomycetes; Auriculariales; Exidiaceae.